AAAAACAUCACCUCCAGCAUCCCUAGUAUUGGAGGCACUGCCUGCCCAGUGACAACUGUUUAACGGCCGCGGUAUCCUGACCGUGCAAAGGUAGCAUAAUCAUUUGUUCUCUAAAUAAGGACUUGUAUGAAUGGCCACACGAGGGUUUUACUGUCUCUUACUUCCAAUCAGUGAAAUUGACCUUCCCGUGAAGAGGCGGGAAUGCAUAAAUAAGACGAGAAGACCCUAUGGAGCUUUAACUAACCAACCCAAAGAAAAUAAAUUUAACCAUUGAGGAACAACAACAAUCUCCAUGAGUUGGUAGUUUCGGUUGGGGUGACCUCGGAGAAUAAAAAAUCCUCCGAACGAUUUUAAAGACUAGACCCACAAGUCAAAUCACUCUAUCGCUCAUUGAUCCAAAAAUUUGAUCAACGGAACAAGUUACCCUAGGGAUAACAGCGCAAUCCUAUUUAAGAGUCCAUAUCGACAAUAGGGUUUACGACCUCGAUGUUGGAUCAGGACAUCCUGAUGGUGCAACCGCUAUCAAAGGUUCGUUUGUUCAACGAUUAAAGUCCUACAUGAUCU
Molecule: ribosomal RNA, 564 nt
Filed under: Bos grunniens (domestic yak)
Lineage: Eukaryota; Metazoa; Chordata; Mammalia; Artiodactyla; Bovidae
Description: partial 16S ribosomal RNA
Rfam family: Bacterial large subunit ribosomal RNA
Source: RNAcentral